CAGUAGCCGCGGGAAUACGAAGGGUGCAAGCGUUACUCGAAAUUACUGGGCGUAAAGCGUGCGCAGGCGGUUUUGUAAGACAGGCGUGAAAUCCCCGGGCUCAACCUGGGAAUGGCGCUUGUGACUGCAAAGCUAGAGUGCGGCAGAGGGGGAUGGAAUUCCGCGUGUAGCAGUGAAAUGCGUAGAUAUGCGAAGGAACACCGAUGGCGAAGGCAAUCCCCUGGACCUGUACUGACGCUCAUGCACGAAAGCGUGGGGAGCAAACAGGAUUAGAUACCCCAGUAGUCCCUGUCUCUUAUAC
This 301-nucleotide ribosomal RNA is filed under the name uncultured bacterium. RNAcentral's name for it is "partial 16S ribosomal RNA". It matches the Rfam family "Bacterial small subunit ribosomal RNA", at positions 509 to 807 of the family's 1533-position model. The record is from RNAcentral.